GCCCGCGAUGGCGGCGCCGGAGCCGCCGCCGCCGGAGGGCUCCCGGCCCCUCAGCGCCCUCCUGGGCGGCAUCGCCCAGGCCGCCUUCCACGGCAACGCCGCUGUCACCGACGAGCUGCUGCGCGGGCAGCUCUACCCCGAGGCGCCGCCGGAGGAGUUCCGCGCCCUGCGCGCCAAGAUGGGCGGCCUCCUCCAGUCGAUUGCUUCAGCGGACAUGGAUUUGAAUCAGCUGGAAGCUUUCCUCGCCGCCCAAACCAAAAAACAAGGUGGCAUCACGUCAGAUCAAGCCGCAGUCAUUGCAAAAUUUUGGAAGAACCACCGAACUAGUAUCCAUGAGAGCCUGAUCAAUCAGAGCCGCUGGGAUAAUGUCUUGAAAAACAUGAACUGGCGAGUGGAUCUGAAGUCACAGUUGAGACACAUCGAUCAGAUAAACACUCCUGUUGCCAUAGUUGAAAUGGAAGUGGGAAAAAAUGGGCAGAGUGCUGCCCUGUUGUGUGACCUAUGAAAGCAUCAAAUGAAAGGCAGCAAAAAACACCUGAAAAAAUUGUGGACCAACUUGGAAUCGGAGUUUCUCUGUCUGGAGUUCGAUGAGGCCAAGGUGAGCCAGAUGCUGAAGAAACUCUCAGAAAUAGAGGAGAGUAUGACUUUGUU
Molecule: RNA transcript, 651 nt
Organism: Chiroxiphia lanceolata (lance-tailed manakin)
Lineage: Eukaryota; Metazoa; Chordata; Aves; Passeriformes; Pipridae
Gene: COMMD1
Gene name: copper metabolism domain containing 1
Exons: 4
Source: RefSeq, a predicted model, not a curated record